CUUUCUAUGCAUUUUCAUGAAUUUGACUACAACCCCUUAAGUGCCUAUAUAUAUAGGAAUCGAUAACCAAGGGGGCAUAUGCUUCUGAGGCAAACUUAUAAGAGAAACAAAAGAGUGUAAGGAGAUCACAAUUUCAAUUUUUAGCGAUGGGUUGGUUUGGCAAGCGAAGAUCUGAAAAGAAACAAAACCCUUAUCAAACACCUGCCGGAGGAGCUAAUCCUAAUCCUACUCAUAAAGCUUAUGGUGGUGGAGAUAAAAAAGGCAAAAUUGGCAGCAAAGGUAACCACGGCAGUGUAGCAGCUGUAGCAAGUAUUACUGCUGCAGCCGCUGCCAGUGCUGCUGCUUCUAGCAGUGCUAGCGCUUGCAGCGGAGGUGGCUGCGCCGGAGGAGGG
Molecule: unclassified non-coding RNA, 392 nt
Filed under: Hevea brasiliensis (rubber tree)
Lineage: Eukaryota; Viridiplantae; Streptophyta; Magnoliopsida; Malpighiales; Euphorbiaceae
Source: RNAcentral